Molecule: small nuclear RNA, 283 nt
Filed under: Nannospalax galili (Upper Galilee mountains blind mole rat)
Lineage: Eukaryota; Metazoa; Chordata; Mammalia; Rodentia; Spalacidae
Description: 7SK RNA (ENSNGAG00000004580.1)
Rfam family: 7SK RNA
About the family: 7SK was discovered as an abundant small nuclear RNA in the mid-70s but a possible function has only recently been suggested.
Source: Rfam by way of RNAcentral
GGAGGUGAGGGCAAUCUGGUUGGGACAACUGUUACCCUACUGAUCACCAGAGCUGAUUCAGCUGAUCUGGCUGGCCAGGCAGGAGUCCCCUUCCUCCAUCACUGUUCCCUGUACAUCCCGAAGCUAUACACUCAGUUGAAGAGGAUGUCCUUCCUCAGCAGAGGAGCACUGUCUUCAAGAGUGUGCUUUUCAGCUUCCCCUGCCAGCAUCUCAAGGCAAACUCUCAGGAAAAAUCCGUCCCUUCCUAGGUUCCCAGUCUCUUCGUGAGGCAGACUGCCUGGAA